GUCCACGCCUUGUGGCGGCUUUGCGGAGCUGCUGCUUUGGCGGGAGUUGGCGGCUGGUGUGAGGCUCUCAUGGCCACCAUGUUGGAAGGCAGAUGCCAAACUCAGCCAAGGAGCAGCCCCAGUGGCCGAGAGACUAGCCUGUGGUCGUCAGGCUUUGGGAUGAAGCUGGAGGCUGUCACUCCAUUCCUGGGGAAGUAUCGCCCCUUUGUGGGUCGCUGUUGCCAGACCUGCACCCCCAAGAGCUGGGAGUCCCUCUUCCACAGAAGCAUAAUGGACCUAGGCUUCUGCAAUGUGAUCCUGGUGAAGGAGGAGAACACAAGGUUUCGGGGCUGGCUGGUUCGGAGGCUCUGCUAUUUCCUGUGGUCCCUGGAGCAGCACAUCCCCCCCUGCCAGGAUGUCCCACAGAAGAUCAUGGAAAGCACCGGGGUGCAGAACCUCCUCUCAGGGAGGGUCCCAGGAGGCACUGGGGAAGGCCAGGUGCCUGACCUUGUGAAGAAGGAGGUACAGCGCAUCCUGGGUCACAUCCAGGCCCCACCCCGUCCCUUCCUGGUCAGGCUGUUCAGCUGGGCGCUGCUGAGGUUCCUGAACUGCCUGUUCCUGAAUGUGCAGCUCCACAAGGGUCAGAUGAAGAUGGUCCAGAAGGCCGCCCAGGCAGUAAGGCCCGCCCUCCAUUGGGUUGGGGAUGGUGGGAGCAGAAGAGCAGAGGCUGGGCCAAGCCCUUAAGUCAGGAGCAGUCCCCAUCUGGUCCUGCUUCCUGGCCUCUCUGCUCCCAGCCAUACAGCAGUCCAGUCCCCAUCAGCUGGUGGGAAAAAUCCCCUGCUCUUUGCCGACCUUCCCUUAUGUCUCACGGCCCUGCUCCCAUGGGGCUUCCUCUAACGUCUUUCCAUCAUGGUCUUAACAACCAUUACGUCAGUGCGUCGGUGCAGUUACCUUAAGAGUUGUCUAAAGGCUCCUUUGCUUUUGGGAAAUGUGCUCAGAGGAAGAACUCUGCGGCUGAACUGUCCCUCCCUCUGGGGCUGCCCUGGGUCUUUGGCUGCCUGUGUCCUCAGGGUGGGGCAGGUUGGCACUUCCCUCUGGCUCUCCCUGGAGCAGGGCUUGCCGCUUGUCCUCCUCUCUACUCACAAAACCCUCCUGGAUGGGAUCCUGCUGCCCUUUAUGCUGCUCUCCCAGGGCCUGGGUGUGCUCCGUGUGGCCUGGGACUCCCGCACCUGCUCCCCUGCCCUCAGAGCUCUGCUGAGGAAGCUUGGGGGGCUUUUCCUGCCCCCAGAGGCCAGCCUCUCCCUGGACAGCUCUGAGGGGCUCCUUGCAAGGGCUGUGGUCCAGGCGGUCAUAGAGCAGCUGCUGGUUAGUGGGCAGCCCCUGCUCAUCUUCCUGGAGGAACCUCCUGGGGCUCUGGGGCCACGGCUGUCAGCCCUGGGCCAGGCUUGGGUGGGGUUUGUGGUGCAGGCAGUCCAGGUGGGCAUCGUCCCAGAUGCUCUGCUGGUACCAGUGGCCGUCACCUAUGACCUGGUUCCGGAUGCACCGUGUGACAUAGACCAUGCCUCGGCCCCCCUGGGGCUGUGGACAGGAGCUCUGGCUGUCCUACGUAGCUUGUGGAGCUGCUGGGGCUGCAGCCACCGGAUCUGCUCCCGGGUGCACCUAGCUCAGCCCUUUUCCCUGCAGGAAUACAUCGUCAGUGCCAGAAGCUGCUGGGGCGGCAGACAGACCCUGGAGCAGCUACUGCAGCCCAUCGUGCUGGGCCAAUGUACUGCUGUCCCAGACACUGAGAAGGAGCAGGAGUGGACCCCCAUAACUGGGCCUCUCCUGGCCCUCAAGGAAGAGGACCAGCUUCUGGUCAGGAGACUGAGCUGUCAUGUCCUGAGUGCCAGUGUAGGGAGCUCUGCGGUGAUGAGCACGGCCAUCAUGGCAACGCUGCUGCUCUUCAAGCAUCAGAAG
RNAcentral lists this small RNA (1935 nucleotides) under Pan troglodytes (chimpanzee). RNAcentral describes it as "retained intron". Lineage: Eukaryota; Metazoa; Chordata; Mammalia; Primates; Hominidae. The record is from RNAcentral.